UACGAAGGGGGCUAGCGUUGUUCGGAAUCACUGGGCGUAAAGGGCGCGUAGGCGGCUUUUCAAGUCGGGGGUGAAAGCCUGUGGCUCAACCACAGAAUUGCCUUCGAUACUGUUAGGCUUGAGACCGGAAGAGGUGAGAGGAACUGCGAGUGUAGAGGUGAAAUUCGUAGAUAUUCGCAAGAACACCAGUGGCGAAGGCGGCUCACUGGUCCGGUUCUGACGCUGAGGCGCGAAAGCGUGGGGAGCAAACAGG
RNAcentral lists this ribosomal RNA (253 nucleotides) under uncultured bacterium. RNAcentral's name for it is "partial 16S ribosomal RNA". It matches the Rfam family "Bacterial small subunit ribosomal RNA", at positions 524 to 776 of the family's 1533-position model. The record is from RNAcentral.